CCUACGGGUGGCAGCAGUGGGGAAUAUUGGGCAAUGGGCGCAAGCCUGCCCCAGCAACGCCGCGUGAAUGAAGAAGGCUUUCGGGUUGUAAACUUCUUUUCUCAGGGACGAAGCAAGUGACGGUACCUGAGGAAUAAUCCACGGCUAACUAAGUGCCAGCAGCCGCGGUAAUACGUAGGUGGCAAGCGUUAUCCGGAUUUUCUGGGUGGAAAGGGCGUGUAGGCGGGACUGCAAGUCAGAUGUGAAAACCACGGGCUCAACCUGUGGCCUGCAUUGGAAACUGUAAUUCUUGAGUACUGGAGAGGCAGACGGAAUUCCUAGUGUAGCGGUGAAAUGCGUAGAUAUUAGGAGGAACACCAGUGGCGAAGGCGGUCUGCUGGACAGCAACUGACGCUGAGGCGCGAAAGCGUGGGGAGCAAACAGGAUUAGAUACCCUAGUAGUC
This 443-nucleotide ribosomal RNA is filed under the name uncultured bacterium. Its description in RNAcentral is "partial 16S ribosomal RNA". It matches the Rfam family "Bacterial small subunit ribosomal RNA", at positions 338 to 795 of the family's 1533-position model. The record is from RNAcentral.